Capsicum annuum is the source of this 3805-nucleotide long non-coding RNA. RefSeq lists it as uncharacterized. NCBI's taxonomy places the organism in Eukaryota, Viridiplantae, Streptophyta, Magnoliopsida, Solanales, Solanaceae. The record is from RefSeq and is a predicted model, not a curated record. The transcript is spliced from 2 exons.
CCAACAUGCACUCCAACCCAUUAAAACCUACCUAACCCUCUCAACAGCCCAAUACACACCACCUGCGACCCGGUCCGGCCCAAUUCCCUUAUCCCUUAUUUCCUUAUUCUUCAAACCAAGGGAAAACCAAAAACAGCAGUGGACGCGUACAAGCAGAAGCAAAAAUCUCACAUCACAACUCCAUCAACCCUUCUCGUACCGACCCGUAACCUGCACGUCCUUAGCCUUCACCACGCGCCCCACACAAACUCGUUCGUGAAAGCCUAGAAGCUUCCAAAAAUUGGUGAGUUGGCUUCUCCAACGAAUCCAUUUCGCAAAUCUUGGGUACCAUGGUUCUCUGUGAGGAGUUCUCCUAAAAAAUGAAAAGGGAGAAAAUUUCAGGGCUCGAAAGAGGAGGGUUCGAAACUUCUAGGGUGUAGAAAUCUGAGGAGAGAAGAAUUUUUGUCACUGUUUAGGGGAUCUUCUUGAUUCUUUUCUUUCUCUUCUGGAGUUGGAAAUUCUUUGGAAAAAAUUCUAAGUGGUGGUGGUUGCGAUCUUGACAAAAGUUCGAGUCUCGUUUGCUGCCACGAAACAGGUAACUCCCCGUUCCAUUGAAUUUUGUUUAUUUCUGCUUCAUCUCAUUCUUCUCUAGUUAUAAGUCUUAUAGCGAUACUGCUUGCUGGGUUGUCUGUUGUUGGAAGUUUUGAAGACUGUAGGUUGUUGUCUUAACUUUUGAUAGUUUUCAUUUUCGGAUUGAUGGUAUUCGAUUGUAGCUGACUUUACAGUAAAGUUGCAUGUUUUGACGAUUUUUGGGCUGAAGGUAUAUUGUUAUAGUUGAUUCCUAUGUUAAAGUUCGGUGUUUGGUUAGUUUCAGUUCAACGGUGCCUUGGUUUUGUAAUUGAGGAUUUUUGCUUUGAUCUUAUUCAAUAGUUCGAACCAAGGGUGUUUUAUUUGACGUCAUCUUGUUUGUUGUCAUUAGUUGAUGUUGUUGAACUAGUAGUGUCAUUAACCGUACUUCCUCUUGAGUCUUUGUCUUCUUCUAUGACAAAGAACACGAGGAUAUAUCUGAUAAAAGUAGUGAAUCCCAUAAUUCCUCGAUGAUCGUUUUGACUUUUAAACUCAUUUUGAGUUUGUCAAAAGAGGAUGAGGUUGAUAUUUGUGUCCAUCCAUCUCCUUUUUGGCUUUAUUUUGUCUCUUGAACUCGUUGCCAAUAUGUGGUCGGGAUAGGGAGACGGAUGCGCUAGUUGCGAAUUUGGAGUAAGUCUCUUUAAAGAAAAUAGUUCAAUUUUGUUUUCUUUAUGGGAAUGGAGUGUCACAAUUUUUGGUUUCUUUGAAUAUCUACUGAUUGGAUGAAAUUUAUGUUUAUACGUCCACCUCGCUUCUUUUCAUGUUCAUUCUGUCUCUUGACUAGGACAGGGGAAGGCUAUGUUUAUGCACACAAUUCCCGAAACAACUUGCACAUCAUUUUCUCUUCAUCUCUACUAACUUGAGAGUAUCAUAUAGUGUGGUAUAAUUGGUUUAUUUGAAGCGCAUGACUGCAUUACGAUUUUAGUGUUGGAAAUUAAUAGUGUUCUUGAUUUAAGUGAGACCCUCUUUGCUUUUGUUGAUUGGAUUGUCCUGUAUACUAUACAACAUACGAGAAAAGAGGUGAAACGAACUUAUCUUGGUUCAUCUGUAGCAUAAAUUUAAGUAUCUAUUUUUGGGAAUUAUCUUCAACUCUUCAAUUUUGUAUUUCGGUUGAAUGUUUUUAUAGCCAACUGAUAAAAUUUUCUUAGUUUCUGUGUAUUCCUUCUCAUAAGUAUACACCGGAACCUAUCAUUUUGUCAAAAGGAAUAGAUUGCGAUUUACUAUUAAUGUACGGUCCUUUAACAAAUGUUACAGCAUCCCUCUACUGCAACAAACAAAACCAACAUUACGUCCUAUUGUCUCAUUUAAUGGUCAUCACAUGCGAUUAGGAAAAGUGACCUUUUACUAGAAUUCUUUCAUGCAUAUGUAUACUUUCAUGCCAAAGUCCAGUAUAAUAUGGCGUGUUCUCUUUGAUCUCUAUGUUAAAAGUUCAAAACCAAUUAAACACAAUUGUAUGUCGCAUAUAUCACUAAUCUAGUAGCUAAGUUUCCUUUUAUGUAUCGAAGUAGUGAUUUUUUUUAACAGCUUUGGACUUUUUGAAUUUUUUGUGUUAUAGAAGUAAUUCAUUUUUAUGAACGCGUAUUAAUUCAUAUAUCUUUUCUUUGCAUGCACACCUCUUGGAGCCCAAAUGGGCUUCUUCUCUCUUUGCAUUUCAUAAAUGUGCCAAUGAGGCCUAUCCUUCCGAGUCAAGCCCGAAUGAAAGCCUAAAGUUGAGCAUGCGGCAUAUGGAUACGAGAAUUCGAAAGAGAAAUAAUGGAUUAAAAUCCCAUUGAAGCGGCCAAGUGAUUAGAAUGUUUCUUUUCUUUUAUUUGUUUAUUUAUUUUAUCGUCUUUUAUUUAUUUGUUUAUUUAUUUAUUCCUUUAUUUCAUUUGGGCCUUGAAGCCAAAGUUGUAAAUUUAAUGCAGGUAGAGCGAGACUCGAGCCAAAGGCUCGAAAACUAGACUAAGACAGGUGAAAUGGGUUGAAAACCCAACUAGAUUAGGAAAGGGCCGAUGGUUUGGGCUUGAAAGCCUAAAUCACUACUUCCCAGCUUUUCUCCCUUUUUCCUUUCGUUUACUUAUUUACAUGUUUCUUUAUGAACUUAGUUAAAAUCCCUAACUAAGUCGCCUAAAUACUGGUUUUGUAUAAACACUAAAAUUGCUUUUCUUUGCAGAAGUUUAACUUUUUUCAAAAGUUAGUCAAAGUCGAUUUUCAAACAGUACGGAUAAUCGCAAGUUAGCGGACGUUUUAGGUGCCUAACACCUUUCUUAAAUGUUAAUAGAAACCGCCUAUUUAGAAUCUCUAACUUAAAAUGAUUUUCCUAUUUUGAAUCGUUUGAAGUAACUUUUAUAAAGAUUUCUUAAUUCCUUUUUAAAAUUAAGUGGUGACUUUCAAAAGUCAAAAUUUUCGCAAAACAGAAAUGGCGACUGUUGGGGAUUUUUAAUUAGGUUCUAAUCAAAUGUUUGAUUUCAUCUUUUGAUUAACUGUUUGUGUUUAUAUGUUUUGAUUCUGUAAAGUUUAACUAUCGCAUUUCAUGGCAUAUUCCUGUAUUAUUUAAAUUGUUGUGGGGUUUUGUGGAUUUCUCGGCCCCUAUUGUUCCAUUCUAAUAAUGUGUUGGAAAUACGAACGACUUAUUAGCAUGUGAGUCGUCUGAUGGCUGUUCAUAUUUUCAAACUCAAGCUGUCCGCUUGAGAAUCAGUGUUCAAACCCACUUUAGACAUCUAGGAUAGAAUGAAACCAAAAUCCUAUUUUAGGCAUGAGCCUAGGACAACCCAAUACUUAAGCAGGGUAUUGGGCCUAUUAGAAAACCUAUCCUGCAUCUAUUGAUCCCGAGUCAAUUAUAGAUGAAUCAUAUUUAUGUGUUGAAGAAAAUGUAUGUCUGUCUAAUUCAAUCCAUUAUCUUUUGGGGUCGGGAAAAAGCUCAAUUUGCUAACUUUCGUGAGAAAAAUUGAAGCAAGUUAAGCAAGAAACUGAUCGAUUUAGGAGGUUGCAUCUAAGGCACAGUAUGAAUGUCAACGGAUUUCACCAAUAUAAGAAAUGGAUGAAGCUAAGAAGUAGAAGGAUGAUACAAGAAGCAUUCAGUAAUUAGUAUCCCCUGCAUGGAACAUUAUUUCCUUUCCCUACAGAUUGUAUCCCUUUUGUGUAACUUUUGUAGACAUUUAUGUCAUUUAUGUAUACCUAUGAAGGUUUUUUGGGAUAAUGGAUUGGCUUUAAUAAGGCA